AUUGAACGCUGGCGGCAUGCCUUACACAUGCAAGUCGAACGGCAGCACGGGAGCAAUCCUGGUGGCGAGUGGCGAACGGGUGAGUAAAGUAUCGGAACGUGCCCAGUCGUGGGGGAUAACGUAGCGAAAGUUACGCUAAUACCGCAUACGAUCUAUGGAUGAAAGCGGGGGAUGGCAAGACCUCGCGCGAUUGGAACGGCCGCUAUCAGAUUAGGUAGUUGGUGGGGUAAAGGCUCACCAAGCCGACGAUCUGUAGCUGGUCUGAGAGGACGACCAGCCACACUGGGACUGAGACACGGCCCAGACUCCUACGGGAGGCAGCAGUGGGGAAUUUUGGACAAUGGGCGAAAGCCUGAUCCAGCCAUGCCGCGUGCAGGAGGAAGGCCUUCGGGUUGUAAACUGCUUUUGUACGGAACGAAAAGGUUUGGCCUAAUAAGCUGAGCUCAUGACGGUACCGUAAGAAUAAGCACCGGCUAACUACGUGCCAGCAGCCGCGGUAA
This 500-nucleotide ribosomal RNA is filed under the name uncultured bacterium. RNAcentral describes it as "partial 16S ribosomal RNA". It matches the Rfam family "Bacterial small subunit ribosomal RNA", at positions 30 to 523 of the family's 1533-position model. The record is from RNAcentral.